AAAGACUUAGGAUAAGAGACCAAGAGCCUUCAAAGCCCUAAGUAGAAGUUAAAAUCUUCUAGUCUUUG
Molecule: transfer RNA, 68 nt
Filed under: Andrias davidianus (Chinese giant salamander)
Lineage: Eukaryota; Metazoa; Chordata; Amphibia; Caudata; Cryptobranchidae
Also listed under: 1 other name
Description: transfer RNA-Trp
Rfam family: tRNA
About the family: Transfer RNA (tRNA) molecules are approximately 80 nucleotides in length. Their secondary structure includes four short double-helical elements and three loops (D, anti-codon, and T loops). Further hydrogen bonds mediate the characteristic L-shaped molecular structure. tRNAs have two regions of fundamental functional importance: the anti-codon, which is responsible for specific mRNA codon recognition, and the 3' end, to which the tRNAs corresponding amino acid is attached (by aminoacyl-tRNA synthetases). tRNAs cope with the degeneracy of the genetic code in two manners: having more than one tRNA (with a specific anti-codon) for a particular amino acid; and 'wobble' base-pairing, i.e. permitting non-standard base-pairing at the 3rd anti-codon position.
Source: RNAcentral